CCUACGGGUGGCAGCAGUGAGGAAUAUUGGGCAAUGGAGGCAACUCUGACCCAGCCAUGCCGCGUGAGUGACGAAUGUCCUCUGAUUUUUAAGCUCCUUCGGUUUGGACGAAAAUUACAGUAUCAUCUAAAGAAUCCCCGGCCAACUUCGUUCCAGCAGCCGCGGUUAUACGGAGGGGGCAAGCGUUGUUCGGAAUUACUGGGCUUAAAGGGAAUGUAGGCGGUUUCGUAAGAUAGUGGUGAAAGUCCAGAGAUUAAAUUUGGAAUUGCCAUUAUAACUAUUAGAAUAGAAUUACUGAGAGGAUGGUGGAAUACCCAGUGGAGAGGUGAAAUGCGUAGAUAUUGGGUAGAACACCAGUGGCGAAGGCGACUAUCUGGAUGUACAUUGACGCUGAGGCUCGAAAGCGUGGGGAUCAAACAGGAUUAGAUACCCCAGUAGUC
This 440-nucleotide ribosomal RNA is filed under the name uncultured bacterium. Its description in RNAcentral is "partial 16S ribosomal RNA". It matches the Rfam family "Bacterial small subunit ribosomal RNA", at positions 338 to 795 of the family's 1533-position model. The record is from RNAcentral.